Long non-coding RNA from Neofelis nebulosa (Clouded leopard), 1140 nucleotides. RefSeq lists it as uncharacterized. Lineage: Eukaryota; Metazoa; Chordata; Mammalia; Carnivora; Felidae. The record is from RefSeq and is a predicted model, not a curated record. The transcript has 2 exons.
GAGAGCACACGAGUGGGAGAGAGGCAGAGAGGGAGAGAGAAUUCCAAGCAGGCUCCGAGCUAUUGGUAUAGAGCCCAGCGUGUGGCUCAAACCCACGAACAGCGAGAUCAUGACCUGAGCCGAAGUCAACAGUUGGACGCUUCACUGACUGAGCCACCCAGGCACGCCAAGGCUCUUACUUUCUUAAUAGCUUUAUUGAACCAUCGUUGACACAUCAUGAAGUUACUUGUUUAAAGUGCACAACUCAGUUGUUUGCAGCAUAGUCAGAAGGUUGUGCAACCAUCACUCCAGAAGGAAGCCCCCUGUAGCAACCCCUCCUCAUCACCCCCCGCAUCCCACGUCCCCCGGCCCUGGACAUGUGCUAACCUACGUCCUGUCUCUGUAGAUACACCUCUUUUGAAUGAUACAGCAUGUUGUCUUUGGUGACUGCCUUCUUUUCACCUGGCAUGUUUUUACGGUUCCUUCAUGUUGUAACGGGUGUGAGCACUUCAUGCCUUUUUGCAGCUUAACCACCUUCCGCUGUAUGGUCAUAUGAAGUUUGCUCUCCAUCAGUCAGUUGAUGAAUAUCUAGGUUAUUUGCCCUUUUUGGCCAUUAUAAAUAAUGCCACUGCACACAUUCUGUGGAUGUUUGUUUUUCUCUCUUGGGUAGGUACUUAAGGAUGGAAAUGCUCUCAUAUGGUAACUCCAUUUUUAACAUUUUGAAGCGGUCGCAAACUCUUUUCCAAAGUAGCAGCACCAUUUUACAUUCCUACCGGCAAUGUUGGAAGGGACCCCGUUUCUCCACAUCCUUGCCAACACUUGUUACUGUCUGUGCUUUUUAUUCUCGCCAGUUCAGGGGGGGUAUGAAGCGGUAUCUCAUUGUGGUUUUGCUUUGCAUUUUGCUAAACGGCUAAUGACAUGGAGUAUUUUUUCAUGUAUCCAUUAGUUAUUUGUACGUCUUCUUUGGAGACCUGUGUACUCAGAUCUUGUGCCUGCCUUUAACUUGGUUUGUUUUUUAGGGGCGCCUGGGUGGCUCAGUCGGUUAAGGUCCGACUUCGGCUCAGGGGCACGUGACUCUUGAUCUCAGGGCUGUUGAGUUCAAGCCCCACGUUGGGGGUAGGGAUGACUUAAAAAUAAAAUCUUUAAAACGUUUUUUCAAAA